Molecule: long non-coding RNA, 248 nt
Organism: Cheilinus undulatus (humphead wrasse)
Lineage: Eukaryota; Metazoa; Chordata; Actinopteri; Labriformes; Labridae
Exons: 2
Source: RefSeq, a predicted model, not a curated record
CGACAAUCACUGCACUCUCUUAAGCUCUGCUCUGAGGUCUCUCUAGUACCAGAGUAUUCCCGCACCUACGUGUGCCUCCAUGUGCCGCCAGUGCUCUGCCGAAUCUCUGCCACGCUGCCACACUCUCUCACUGGAUUCCCUCACAGCCUCCUUCGCCUACCCUCACACCUGCAGCCCUCACGUCUCCCUGGACUCCUCACGCACCCCUUGGACCUUGGAUUCCCCAAUAAAACCUUUUAACUGCUUCA